UCGACCCCAUGAAGUCGGAGUUGCUAGUAAUCGCAGAUCAGCAUUGCUGCGGUGAAUACGUUCCCGGGCCUUGUACACACCGCCCGUCACGUCACGAAAGUCGGUAACACCCGAAGCCGGUGGCCCAACCCCUUGYGGGAGGGAGCUGUCGAAGGUGGGACUGGCGAUUGGGACGAAGUCGUAACAAGGUAGCCGUACCGGAAGGUGCGGCUGGAUCACCUCCUUUCUAAGGAG
RNAcentral lists this ribosomal RNA (234 nucleotides) under Streptomyces sp. T39. RNAcentral's name for it is "Streptomyces sp. t39 partial 16S ribosomal RNA". It matches the Rfam family "Bacterial small subunit ribosomal RNA", at positions 1312 to 1533 of the family's 1533-position model. The record is from RNAcentral. Lineage: Bacteria; Bacillati; Actinomycetota; Actinomycetes; Kitasatosporales; Streptomycetaceae.